UGGAUCACCUCCUAACAGGGAGAACCAACUUCAAAUGAUGAGCAUAUUUUUUCAUGUUCCAUUUGACUGUUCAACCCUAUGGUCGAUCGGUACCUCAAUGAUUGAGAUGUAAAUCUCUUUUAUCUCGGUCCUUAAGCUUGUCUAGGUCACUAUCCCAUGGCUGCUAAGCUAUGGAGGAUGGGCCCGAGAGGGUUCCUGGGCCAUUAGCUCAGGUGGUUAGAGCGCACCCCUGAUAAGGGUGAGGUCCCUGGUUCAAGUCCAGGAUGGCCCAUCGGGAUUGGGGGUUUAGCUCAGCUGGUAGAGCGCCUGCUUUGCAAGCAGGAUGUCAGCGGUUCGAGUCCGCUAACCUCCAUCAAUUCUGAUGUAGGAAACGACACGGUCCCUUAUUGAUCUAGAUACUGGUUUGGUGAAUCCAGCCUCGUAUGAUACUUGAAAAAGCUCAAAUGAUGCUGGACUCAGCAAUGGGUUCAGUAAGAACCUUGACAACUGCAUAGGUGAGUCUGGAAAUAAGCAUCUCACAGAGAUGAUCCAGCAUUUUUAUCAGCAGCUUCUGUUGUUGGUAUUGCUGUUUCAUUAAUUCUGUGGAAGCCGAGAUCUGGUUGUUUCAACAAUCAGAUAUUGAAAAUGGUCAAGUUACAAAGGGCUCACGGCGGAUACCUUGGCACACAGAGGCGAUGAAGG
This 681-nucleotide transfer RNA is filed under the name uncultured Synechococcus sp. RNAcentral describes it as "partial contains 16S ribosomal RNA, 16S-23S ribosomal RNA intergenic spacer, and 23S ribosomal RNA". The stretch from base 280 to 352 matches the Rfam family "tRNA". Lineage: Bacteria; Bacillati; Cyanobacteriota; Cyanophyceae; Synechococcales; Synechococcaceae. The record is from RNAcentral.